GGGUCAGUAGGUUGGUCGUGCCACCGGUACGUACUGGUCUCACUGAUUCCUCCUUCCCGAAGAACCGUAAUGCCAUUAAUUUGGUGUUGCGGGGAAACAGGACUGUUACUUUGAAAAAAUUAGAGUGUUUAAAGCAAGCUAACGCUUGAAUACAUUAGCAUGGAAUAAUGAAAUAGGACGAUCGAUCCUAUUUUGUUGGUUUCUAGGAUUGACGUA
Molecule: ribosomal RNA, 216 nt
Filed under: Glomeromycotina sp.
Lineage: Eukaryota; Fungi; Glomeromycota
Description: partial small subunit ribosomal RNA
Rfam family: Eukaryotic small subunit ribosomal RNA (bases 75-216)
Source: RNAcentral